GUAGGUGGCAAGCGUUGUCCGGAAUUAUUGGGCGUAAAGCGCGCGCAGGCGUUUCUUUAAGUCUGAUGUGAAAGCCCACGGGCUCAACCGUGGAGGGUCAUUGGAAACUGGAGAACUUGAGUACAGAAGAGGAAAGCGGAAUUCCACGUGUAGCGGUGAAAUGCGUAGAGAUGUGGAGGAACACCAGUGGCGAAGGCGGCUUUCUGGUCUGUAACUGACGCUGAGGCGCGAAAGCGUGGGGAGCAAACAGGAUUAGAUACCCUGGUAGUCCACGCCGUAAACGAUGAGUGCUAAGUGUUAGGGGGUUUCCGCCCCUUAGUGCUGCAGCUAACGCAUUAAGCACUCCGCCUGGGGAGUACGGCCGCAAGGCUG
Molecule: ribosomal RNA, 372 nt
Filed under: uncultured organism
Description: partial 16S ribosomal RNA
Rfam family: Bacterial small subunit ribosomal RNA
Source: RNAcentral